AGCUCAGUUGGUAGAGCGCUGCCUUUGCAAGGCAGAUGUCAGGAGUUCGAACCUUAUC
Molecule: transfer RNA, 58 nt
Filed under: Mycobacterium sp.
Lineage: Bacteria; Bacillati; Actinomycetota; Actinomycetes; Mycobacteriales; Mycobacteriaceae
Also listed under: 1 other name
Description: tRNA-Ala
Rfam family: tRNA
About the family: Transfer RNA (tRNA) molecules are approximately 80 nucleotides in length. Their secondary structure includes four short double-helical elements and three loops (D, anti-codon, and T loops).
Source: RNAcentral